Molecule: long non-coding RNA, 277 nt
Filed under: Mytilus galloprovincialis (Mediterranean mussel)
Lineage: Eukaryota; Metazoa; Mollusca; Bivalvia; Mytilida; Mytilidae
Source: RNAcentral
CUGUCACAGAAUUAUUUGUAAAUGAAUAAGAUAAAAUAUUUAAAAAAAAAAAGAGGAAACAUUUCUUGGAUUUUAAUUUUUCUCAUAUAGUUAUUGUACUGCAAUCCCAAUCACAGGCAUUUAUCUCUGAAUUCUUUUUUUACCUUUAUACCUUAUUUACUUAGGGUAUAAAGGAAAACAAAUCAGGAUCACAAUAUAGAAAGUGCAACUGGAAUAACACAUUGCAAAUAUCACUGAUUUUUAUUUACAGGUGCAAUUGUUUUUCAAAAUCAUAAAG